AUAUCUUAUCUAUACUAUUAUGCUUUUCUUACAGUCUAUAGCCAUUCCCUCUUCUUUUGGUCGCCAUGCGACAAUUUACUAUGCGACGGCCCUCUUUGGCAAACAUUUUGAAUAUUUUAUUGAUAUUUGGAUUCGUCUUUAAUUCAAACAUAUUUGACUCUUAUAAGACUUUGAAAACUUGUCUUUAAGCUGAAUUUACACAGAAUUCACACAAGAUGCAAAGUUUACCAUGACAAACGGCCUGUUCAUAUUAGCCUGAUUACCGAAACAUCUCGGCUGGUGGGACAAAUCAUAUCGACGCUCAGAUUUUGGCUACCGAGAUAAAAUUCACACAAAGUUACUAUAAAAACUGCUUCAAAUGAUUCUC
This is a non-coding RNA of Paramuricea clavata, 367 nucleotides long. The record is from the annotation of a GenBank genome assembly. Lineage: Eukaryota; Metazoa; Cnidaria; Anthozoa; Malacalcyonacea; Plexauridae.